UUGUUGGGGCGCCUGGGUGGCGCAGUCGGCUAAGCGUCCGAUCUCGCGGUCCGGGAGUUCGAGCCCCGCAUCGGGCUCUGGGCUGAUGGCUCAGAGCCUGGAGCCUGUUUCCGAUUCUGUGUCUCCCUCUCUCUCUGCCCCUCCCCUGUUCAUGCUCUGUCUCUCUCUGUCCCAAAUAAAUAAAUAAACGUUGAAAAAAAAUUAAAAAAAAAAAAAAAAAGAAAGUCAAGGUUUUGAGGAAGAGGAUGGAACAUUGAGUUGAGACCUGACUGACUCAGGAUCUUUUUUUCCUUCUUAGGUGAACACAUUCUUUUGAUCACAUCUCCCGAACAAGCAUGAGACUUUCCAGGUGACAUUUCUCUUCUUGGCCCAGAAUACAGAGUAUGGUGCUACUAACCAGAGCCCCUGGACUGAGGAAAGCAUUCUCCUGCACAGAGCCCAAGGAGACCAAGAGGGGCAACAGAGGAGGAACUGUACUUUGUGUCUUUGAAAGAACUCCCAUCCAACUGGAGUAAUUCAUCAAGGAUUUUUGAUGGCAGCUCUGAGAGUUUCCGAAGUUACUGUAGAAAUCCUGUCGCUCCUUUUAAUGUAAGUGUCUUUGCUUUCCUUCAGAGUAAAAUUGAUGACAUGUGUCCUUCUUUGCAUCUUGGCUUUCUUAUUUAUGAUUAAGGAGGCUUAUGGCAGAAUCAACAGCGCUGGAAUCAUUUGAUAAUUUACAUAAACACUCUCUCUGAUCGUUAUCGGCAUUCUCGCUACACCUGGAUGGGGACCCUCCUUAGGUUUUCUUCCAUAUUUGGAAAAACAUAAGCUGAUUUAGGUGACCACUAGGGAGAGUGGACUAGGAUGAACAUUGUCUUGAAAUUGUCGUGCGAGAAAUGUCAAAGCUUCGGAGCGCCUGAGUGGCUCAGUCGGUUAAGCGUCCGACUUUGGCUCAGGUCAUGAUCUCAUAGUUUGUGGGUUUGAGCCCCGCUCAGGCUCUGUGCUGAUAGCUCAGAGCCCGGGACCUACUUGGAUUCUGUGUUUCCCUCUCUCUCUGCCCCUCCCCUACUUGCGCUCUGUCUCUUUGUCUCUCUCAAAAAUAAGUAAACAU
This 1090-nucleotide long non-coding RNA is filed under the name Felis catus (domestic cat). RNAcentral's name for it is "lncRNA (ENSFCAG00000044573.2)". Lineage: Eukaryota; Metazoa; Chordata; Mammalia; Carnivora; Felidae. The record is from RNAcentral.